UUUCAGAGAUGGAUUGGUGCCUUCGGGAACUGUGAGACAGGUGCUGCAUGGCUGUCGUCAGCUCGUGUUGUGAAAUGUUGGGUUAAGUCCCGCAACGAGCGCAACCCUUAUCCUUUGUUGCCAGCACGUAAUGGUGGGAACUCAAAGGAGACUGCCGGUGAUAAACCGGAGGAAGGUGGGGAUGACGUCAAGUCAUCAUGGCCCUUACGAGUAGGGCUACACACGUGCUACAAUGGCAUAUACAAAGAGAAGCGAACUCGCGAGAGCAAGCGGACCUCAUAAAGUAUGUCGUAGUCCGGAUCGGAGUCUGCAACUCGACUCCGUGAAGUCGGAAUCGCUAGUAAUCGUAGAUCAGAAUGCUACGGUGAAUACGUUCCCGGGCCUUGUACACACCGCCCGUCACACCAUGGGAGUGGGUUGCAAAAGAAGUAGGUAGCUUAACCUUCGGGAGGGCGCUUACCACUUUGUGAUUCAUGACUGGGGUGAAGUCGUAACAGGUU
Molecule: ribosomal RNA, 500 nt
Filed under: Serratia sp. ARE_As26_B
Lineage: Bacteria; Pseudomonadati; Pseudomonadota; Gammaproteobacteria; Enterobacterales; Yersiniaceae
Description: bacterial SSU rRNA
Rfam family: Bacterial small subunit ribosomal RNA
Source: RNAcentral